GUGGGGAAUCUUGCGCAAUGGGCGAAAGCCUGACGCAGCCAUGCCGCGUGAAUGAUGAAGGUCUUAGGAUUGUAAAAUUCUUUCACCGGGGACGAUAAUGACGGUACCCGGAGAAGAAGCCCCGGCUAACUUCGUGCCAGCAGCCGCGGGAAUACGAAGGGGGCUAGCGUUGCUCGGAAUUACUGGGCGUAAAGGGCGCGUAGGCGGACAGUUUAGUCAGAGGUGAAAGCCCAGGGCUCAACCUUGGAAUUGCCUUUGAUACUGGCUGUCUUGAGUACGGGAGAGGUGAGUGGAACUCCGAGUGUAGAGGUGAAAUUCGUAGAUAUUCGGAAGAACACCAGUGGCGAAGGCGACUCACUGGCCCGUUACUGACGCUGAGGCGCGAAAGCGUGGGGAGCAAACAGGAUUAGAAACCCGGGUAGUCC
Molecule: ribosomal RNA, 425 nt
Filed under: uncultured bacterium
Lineage: Bacteria
Description: partial 16S ribosomal RNA
Rfam family: Bacterial small subunit ribosomal RNA
Source: RNAcentral